GGAUCUGCAAUUGUAUUCCUGUUUCAAGCCCCGUUUUCUUGCAGCUCUUCGGCACUGCAAACCUAACCGCUAAUGGCGCUGUGGGUGGAGAAACGUUUGUUAGGCAACAACAGAAUUCUGCGAAACUUGGUUGGUUGGAGGAGCACACCAAAAAUAAAGUACCGGAGCCGGCACGGCUUCAAAAAAAUUAGGAUCAGUACCGCUAGUAGCGAACGCAUAAGAAGGGCUUCCUGUAUGCCUGCGUAUCUUGUUUAAGCCUAAAGAUAUGUACUCUCUUUAUCCUCUUUUUUUGAGACGAGGAAGUAGACCCAGCAUGCCCGAGAUCACACAUUUUACAAGGAAGAAGUAGGAUCCAGACCCAGGGAGUUUAACUUCAAAACUUGAACGUUUAACAAUCAGGUCUUGCUGCCCUACUCAUAAAGAGACCCAAAUAAAAACAACAUGACGCCAUUUUUUUCCAUGUGUUUAGACUGGCAAACUUGUGAAGUCGCUUAAUACCAAAUGUGUACCAAGAUGUAAGGAAAUGAUGUGAGAAUGUCAUUAGUAUAACCUUUUAGGAGGAGUAAUUUGACAAUAUGAGAGGCUUGAGCGGAUUGAUUCAGCAAUUUCACCACUAAGAAAGUAUGCAACAAUUAUUUUUGCACCAAUAUCCAAAGAUUUACUACAAAGAUUUCUGGCAGCAAUUUUUGUGUGUGUGUGGCAAGAAAAAAAAAAGCAUUCUAAUUGUCCAUCGAUAGAGGAACUUAAAGUAUGGAAUAUUAAUACAAUGGCAUAUUACCCUUUUUAAAAAAAGUAAAUUGUAUCUGAAUAUGCUGAUAUAUAAAUACCUCCAAAAGGUAUUGAGUUUUAAACAAAGCAACUUGCAGAAUUAAACAUAUGCGUACGUAUACAGAGAGAGAAGAGAGAGGGAUGGUAUUUGUUUGCGUCCGUGUGUGUGUGUGUGUGUGUGUGUGUGUGUGUGUGUGUUUGCGCAGAACAUUCCUGGAGGAUAUGCAAGAAACUGUUAAUGAUUACCUCUGGUGGGUGAGCCUAGGAAGGAAAGCUUCUGAGGAUCUUUACUUUCCACAUUUAGCUUCCCUGUACUGUGCUGUUUGAAUAUUUUUCCAAUGAAUGUAUACUAUAAUUAUAGUAUUAUAACAGUACAAGAUUAUAACAGUACAAGAUUACUAUAAAAUUAAUUACAAAUAAAAGCUGAGAAUCACUUUUGCACCUAAACCUUUUGAAUUUAGGGGUGAAAGUCACAGGAGAGACUGGAAAGGGAGGAAGAAAAGAAAAACAUUUUUCUCUUUGCUUCCAUGAAGCCACAAAGUGCUUUGAAUAGUGCCUGGCAUAAAGCUUCUUACAUCAUGGUUGCAGGAUGGCUGCUACAGCUCUGGACAUCACAUCAAAAUAUGGCAGAAGCUAAAGCAGGAAGACAGAGAAGGAGGCAAAACAGCUUUAUUCACUUGUGGCUCUCAUAUGAAGAAUAAAGAUAUUUCUCGAAACCUUCUAGUGAAAUCCUUAUAUCUUAUUGGCCAGAACUGGCUUACAUAAAUUAUGAUUUGUUGUCUGGAGCUGGAUGCAUUGCUACCUAAACAAAACUGGAGUUCUGUUAGCAAGGAGGAAGAGUUUGUGGCAGUAAGGUAGGCAAUCACAUUCUCUGCCAUAAUUGAUAAAGUUCCUGUGAAACCUAGUGGCACCCUAAUUCCUGAGUGUCAUUCCUUU
This 1704-nucleotide long non-coding RNA is filed under the name Homo sapiens (human). RNAcentral's name for it is "non-protein coding CDC37L1-DT:16". The record is from RNAcentral. Lineage: Eukaryota; Metazoa; Chordata; Mammalia; Primates; Hominidae.